AACCAAUGAUUUCGUUCUUUUGAAGUCUUAAUUAAUCAAGUUAUCACACGACUGUCUAGUUCCGAGAGUCUCUUGGGAAACAAUACCCUGUCUUACCAGGAUUAUUACUUGCUACGAUCCGGUACACUUGCCGGUUACCUAAUAAGUUUUUGGCGCCGUUGUCGGGGACUCACGAUUUAAACUAUUCUAUUUUUGUGAUUCUUGAUUAAUUUUGACUUUGUUAUUUUUAUUAUAUUUAUUUUUUAAUUUAUCUUGCGUUUUAUUUUGUUUAUUUUUUUUUUGUGCUAAUAGUUUGCUUUCUAGAGUUUUGUUUUCUUGUGUAUGCAGGAUACAAUUCACACUAGAAGUAGGAAAAUUUCUAACCUUUCUUUACAGAUAAGGAAAUAGAAGACAUGGUGGGCAAUCAGAAUAUGGGUCCAGUGAGACGAACUUUGGAAGAUUACGCAACAGUCAUUAGUCCUUUGUAUUUUAACAGUAUUGUCAGGCCAAUGGUAAAUGCUACCAACAUGCAGAUGAAGC
RNAcentral lists this long non-coding RNA (519 nucleotides) under Vigna radiata. RNAcentral's name for it is "long non-coding RNA (VRAD_LNC003492)". Lineage: Eukaryota; Viridiplantae; Streptophyta; Magnoliopsida; Fabales; Fabaceae. The record is from RNAcentral.